AGCAAAAUGCCACAGCAAUCCAUAUCCACAACAUCACAAUUAACAGGUUCAGUAUAAGAUUUACCGAUCGAGAUAGGCACGCUGCAGAUUCUGUUGACCUCAAUUGUCGGUCCUUCCUUAAUCCAUCCGACUUUGUAUGGUGAGGGGUGAGACUGUGUAGGCAACUAUAAUUUUUUCACCAAUUGCUUAGCUAUCAGAUUCUCACAACUGCAGCUAUCUAUGAUUAGCCUGCAAAUUGCCUCUCCUACUCGACACUUUGCCUGGAAAAUCUUUCUCCUUUGUGUCUCGUCCUCCUGUUUU
Molecule: long non-coding RNA, 300 nt
Filed under: Manihot esculenta (cassava)
Lineage: Eukaryota; Viridiplantae; Streptophyta; Magnoliopsida; Malpighiales; Euphorbiaceae
Description: long non-coding RNA (MESC_LNC007641)
Source: RNAcentral